RNAcentral lists this transfer RNA (73 nucleotides) under Marmota monax (woodchuck). RNAcentral's name for it is "tRNA.Ala". The record is from RNAcentral. Lineage: Eukaryota; Metazoa; Chordata; Mammalia; Rodentia; Sciuridae.
UCUGGAUACAGCCCAGUGGUAUAGCACAUGCUCAGCAUGAAUGAGGCCCUGGGUUCAAUCUCCAGAACCAUAA